Molecule: long non-coding RNA, 576 nt
Filed under: Homo sapiens (human)
Lineage: Eukaryota; Metazoa; Chordata; Mammalia; Primates; Hominidae
Description: HSALNT0219997
Source: RNAcentral
UUGCCUUCUAAUCAAGUAAUUAUUUACUACACUGCCAUCUGUCUUUAUUUUGCUAAGCCACUUGAUCAGACACAGCAGUAUCCCCGUGCUCUGAAUAAUUUAUUAAGAGAAACUAUCAGUCAUCAGUAUUGGAUGAGUUGCUACAGUAUACAAGUUACAAUGUUAUGAGCAUCGAUCUUAUUUAUAUUAAAAGUUAUUCUCACAUAAGCCUGUGAUACAAUAUAAAAAUAAUUGUCGUUAGCUGGUAAAUUAUCUAUAAAGCUGAUUUCUAUUCACUGCUUUAUUAACUACAGUAUAUGGGCACUCUGAAUUGCUAAUAUUUCCUUUAAAUUAUAAUCUGUGAUGACACUGUGGUGCCUGUGUUGGAAAAGCUAUGAUGACAAUCAUUAACAUAGUAUAAUGCAAUACUUAAGAUUUAUUAGGCCCUUAUUAGGCCCUGAAUUACAGCAUAAUAUAAUGAAAUGCAAGUUUAUUUCUUCCAAUUCAAAAUCUAAUAAGAGGUUUGUGUCGUAAAUUACUUUUCAGCUACAUCACAUCUUUCAGCUUGAAGAGAUCAACAUAACACACAAAGCAAAU